Molecule: long non-coding RNA, 1408 nt
Filed under: Pan troglodytes (chimpanzee)
Lineage: Eukaryota; Metazoa; Chordata; Mammalia; Primates; Hominidae
Description: lincRNA
Source: RNAcentral
AAUGCAGAGAGGAUGCACACUCUGAAGAGGGCAGGCAGCUUCUGCACCGAGGGAGCAAAGGGGCGUGUCAGGGGCAGCUGCUGGAAGGAGGCGCAAGCACCACGGAGAGUCUGGGAUGCCCAGCCAAGGAGCCCUGGAAGGGUUGCCCUGGGGACUGACACUGUGGGCUCUGUGUUUUAGCCAAGUCACCCAGGCAGCUGAACAGAAGAUGGACUGGAGGGAGAAGCCUGGAUGAUCGCUCAGCAACAAAGGAGCCAGAAAAGGCAAGGUGUACGCACCGUGUGCAGCAUGGGCAAGCUGCAGGCAUGCAGAACUUCUGAGUCCUAACCAUGGCUGGUGGCUCUUCCAGGAACAUGGUUUCCUGGACCCAAAAGAUGAGGAAACUGAGGCUUGGAGAGGCUCUCUGCCUUUGUCAACCUGGAGAUGCUGGGAAGGAAGUGAGGCCCAUCCCACCUCAGAUGCCUGUCCUCUGUCGUCAGGAGCAUUCUCUUGUUCUUCCGGGCUUGGCCAAGCGGUGGUAAACCCCACAUGUGGUUCUGUGGUUGCCCACACAGUCCUAAAAAUAGCCAACAGGAACCCAGGGGCUCCCCCUUGGUGAGUGGCAGCAGGCCCAGUCCUCAGGCAGCCACCGACCUGCUCACUCCCCACAGGCGAGCAGGUCCUGUCUAGGAAGGGGCUGGGUGGCCUGGGUCCCAUGCAUGAUGAGCCAGAGGCUGUGCCAAGCUUAUAGCAAAUAUUAUUUUAUUUCAUUAUGUUUUCUUACAUCUGUGAUGUGGAGGCCAUAGCGCCACUGGACUCAUGAGGAGACUGAGGCUCAGAGCAAUGAAGUGACCUGCUCAAAGUUAAGGAGCUUCAGUGAGGACCCAAUUUGUUCUGAUCCUAAGGUCACUAUCCUUAAUCCCUCUCCCUGUGGGGUCUUCCCUAUCUUGAGCCAGUGGACAGCUGUGCAGUGGCAAGAAAAAGGCCUUCAGAGCUACGCAAACCUGGCUUCAAAUCCCAGCCUCCCUGAUGAGCCCUGGUGGUCUUGGAGCUGUAACACUCACCGCGAAGAUCUGCAGCUUCACUCCUGAGCCCAGCGAGACCAUGAACCCACCGGGAGGAGCGAACAACUCCAGACGCACUGCCUUAAGAGCUGUAACACUCACUGCGAAGGUCUGCAGCUUCACUCCUGAGCCAGCGAGACCACGAACCCACGGGAAGGAAGAACUCUGAACACAUCUGAACAUCAGAAGGGAUAGACUCCAGACGCGCCACCUUAAGAGCUGUAACACUGUGAGGGUCCGCGGCUUCAUUCUUGAAGUCAGUGAGACCAAGAACCCACCAAUUCCAGACACAAAAUGACACAGUCCCUGCCCACAUGGAGCUGACAUUCUCAUGGAGAGAAAGGGGCAAAUAAACAAAUGUACAA